CCCUAGCCCUGAUGGAAACGACAUCCUUUCUUGCCGGAGUUCGGCGAGAAAGAUAUAGUGUACAGCAGGAAAUAGC
Molecule: small RNA, 76 nt
Filed under: Flavobacterium weaverense
Lineage: Bacteria; Pseudomonadati; Bacteroidota; Flavobacteriia; Flavobacteriales; Flavobacteriaceae
Description: Flavo-1 RNA
Rfam family: Flavo-1 RNA
Source: RNAcentral